Molecule: small nuclear RNA, 196 nt
Organism: Andrographis paniculata
Lineage: Eukaryota; Viridiplantae; Streptophyta; Magnoliopsida; Lamiales; Acanthaceae
Product: U2 spliceosomal RNA
Exons: 1
Source: RefSeq, a predicted model, not a curated record
AUACCUUUCUCGGCCUUUUGGCUAAGAUCAAGUGUAGUAUCUGUUCUUAUCAGUUUAAUAUCUGAUACGUGGGCUAUCGGCCCACAUGAUAUUAAAUUAAUUUUUUUCGGGGGAAGGCCCAUUAAGGCAGCUUGCUGUCUGGGCUUUCAUACGUCGCCUGUGCGUUGCACUGCUGCAUAGGCCUGGCGUACCCCAC